Molecule: ribosomal RNA, 301 nt
Filed under: uncultured bacterium
Lineage: Bacteria
Description: partial 16S ribosomal RNA
Rfam family: Bacterial small subunit ribosomal RNA
Source: RNAcentral
CAGUCGCCACGGGAAUACAGAGGGUGCGAGCGUUAAUCGGAUUUACUGGGCGUAAAGCGUGCGUAGGCGGCUUCUUAAGUCGGAUGUGAAAUCCCUGAGCUUAACUUAGGAAUUGCAUUUGAUACUGGGAAGCUAGAGUAUGGGAGAGGAUGGUAGAAUUCCAGGUGUAGCGGUGAAAUGCGUAGAGAUCUGGAGGAAUACCGAUGGCGAAGGCAGCCAUCUGGCCUAAUACUGACGCUGAGGUACGAAAGCAUGGGGAGCAAACAGGAUUAGAUACCCGCGUAGUCCCUGUCUCUUAUAC